Suillus subluteus is the source of this 79-nucleotide non-coding RNA. NCBI's taxonomy places the organism in Eukaryota, Fungi, Basidiomycota, Agaricomycetes, Boletales, Suillaceae. The record is from the annotation of a GenBank genome assembly.
GUUCUUAGCCAAGUGGUUUACCGCGACAGAGUCAAAAUCUGUUUCUCUUGGACUGUGUAGGUUCAAAACCUGCCGAACG